AUGGAUAACCGUGGUAAUUCUAGAGCUAAUACAUGAGCAAAUUCUCAACUGUUUCAGAAGAGAUGCAUUUAUUAGAUAAAAAACCAAUGCAUGCUUUUACGGCAUGGAAAUUGGUGAUUUACAAUAACUUAGCAAAUCGCAUGUAUAGUGAAAACUGGCGAUAAAUCAUUCAAGUUUCUGACCUAUCAGCUUUCGACGGUAUGGUAUUGGCUUACCGUGGCAGUGACGGUUAACGGGGGAUUAGGGUUCGAUUCCGGAGAGGGAGCCUGAGAAACGGCUACCACAUCUAAGGAAGGCAGCAGGCGCGCAAAUUACCCAAUUCUAACAGCAUAAGAGAGGUAGUGACAAGAAAUAACAAUACAAGGCAAUUAAAAUGCUUUGUAAUUGGAAUGAUAGAAAUUUAAACACUUUUUAAAGUAUCAAUUGGAGGGCAAGUCUGGUGCCAGCAGCCGCGGUAAUUCCAGCUCCAAUA
RNAcentral lists this ribosomal RNA (472 nucleotides) under Hemolivia mauritanica. RNAcentral describes it as "SSU rRNA". It matches the Rfam family "Eukaryotic small subunit ribosomal RNA", at positions 139 to 596 of the family's 1831-position model. The record is from RNAcentral. Lineage: Eukaryota; Apicomplexa; Karyolysidae.